Cotesia glomerata is the source of this 608-nucleotide long non-coding RNA. RefSeq lists it as uncharacterized. The transcript is spliced from 2 exons. The record is from RefSeq and is a predicted model, not a curated record. NCBI's taxonomy places the organism in Eukaryota, Metazoa, Arthropoda, Insecta, Hymenoptera, Braconidae.
AGUAAAGAAAGAACUACAACGACAAAAUCCCGAAGAUUCAUUGUGACCAAACAGUCUUACUGGAUGCCACGAAAAUUUAUCAAACAGCAUAGCACAGGCUUUAUAAAAUAUCCGGAGGACGAGUGACGGUGACCAGAGUUUCACCGCCAAGCAGAUUAAUCUACCGAGGAGACAUUUGCACCAGCACGGACAAAAAGGAGUUGCAGCUCUUCGAGGGAGUGCACAGAGUAUUAUUAAGAAAACUCAAGGUACAAAUAUCAUGUCUGAUUUUAUCUCUCGGGUCUGCGGCGUCAGCCAGGCAACAUGUCGGCUGAAGGUCACCGCCAUUUCGUGCUCGGUCACAAUCGCUAGUUGUAAGAAUUAAAAUUAAAUUUACUAUAAAUUAGAAAAAUUAUAAAACAAUUAAUUAAUAAUGCUAGGACUUAUUUUGGGUUAUUGAUUAAUUUGUUAAGGAAAAUAAUUUCUCUUUGUCCUUACUUAUUUUACACAUAGGCCUGUCUGGGUUAAUAAUACCAGGAAUUUAAUUCGGGUUAUUAAUUCCAGAUUCUUAUGUCAUGUGUAAAAUUUAAUUAUUGAGAAUCGUUGGACAAUAAUUUGGCUUAAGCCAG